ACCCUAUAGAGUUUUAUAAAUAAAUUAAUUGAGAUUAUUUAUUAAAUAAAAUUAAAAUUAAGUUGUUUAUUAUAUUGGGGUGAUAGAAAAAUGUAAUUAACUUUUUUUUUUAUAUGAAAACAUUUAUAAGUGAUUAUAUGAUCCAAUAUUAUUGAUUAUAAGAAAAAAUUACCUUAGGGAUAACAGCGUAAUUUUUUUUUUUAGUUCA
Molecule: ribosomal RNA, 208 nt
Filed under: Sciomesa mesophaea
Lineage: Eukaryota; Metazoa; Arthropoda; Insecta; Lepidoptera; Noctuidae
Description: partial 16S ribosomal RNA
Source: RNAcentral